AGAGAAAGCAAAUAAGUCAUAGUGUCCACCCAGAAGGUGGGCCUCUCCUCAGGGGAGAAAGUCACCUGUGCUCCUAGUUUGGAGAGCAAGUCUCUUCCCAACAGGGGUACUGGGCACUCGGGAACACAGAGGAAUUCAUGAAGCACUUGGUGCCCCCUCAUCUGGCAUUUUCUGGGCUGGCAGAACGAUCUAAUCACGUCUUCUCCCGAUACCCAGGUACAGCGGUAGUCUUUUUGGACAGUGGUGCCACAGGUUUUACUGCCGACACUUCGGCUCCUGUAUCCACCGUGAAGUCAAUGUUUUGGUCCCCCACUUGUAAGGCCACCGUGGGCUCUCGGGGACCUGGUAUCUCUGAGCCCCGGCAGCCCUAUUUAAUUUCCAAGUCAGCAAGCCCCACCACUGCGGGCGCUUCCUCUGCCUUCCUUGCCUCAGGCGUUCAUUCUUCCAGCGGCCAAAAGCUCCGCACCGGGCUCACUGGUGUGGCUGUAACGGGGCCCAGGGCUUCUGUUGGGACCGGUUGAAGGGCUGUCCUGUCCCUGGGGCAGGAGGCGGUUUUGAGGAGGGCCCGAGAUAGACUUUCCCAGAGCAGCAGCUAGCAUUGCAAACCUCGUCUGUUCUUUCGUUCCCUCUGGCUCUCUGGCAGAGCGCAGUUUCUGCUUAAUUCCAACAUCUCCCUCCCCUUCUUGUCAGUACUCACCGGGAGAGGCGGAGAGGCGGGUAUAGCUUGGGCGGUUCGGCUGGAGCCGGAUCCUGGAAGUGUUGGCCAGAGGCUUCUGUCACCGGGAUUCGAGCCUGCGGAGGUGGUGGCUCUAUGACCUCGGGGAGAGCUGGCGGAGGAGCAGCGGCUGCUGCAGGAACUUCACCUGGCCCUGGAUCGGGAAUUAAGGCGGCCUCCGGUCCUGGUGGAGCACUGGGAGGCAGGCACUAAACACAGAGUUCAGAGUCCAUUGGAAAGGUGGCCGAGCAUGAUCAGCAUGAACAGGCCUAAGAUGGAGUCCUAUGAAUUCCUUCUUCAGUCUUAUAUGAUUUUACACAGGGUGGUGGUGAUGAAAGCAAAUCCACAUUUUAAGGCAAGACGAGAAAAAUGUAAACAAACAUCACCAGCAUCAGAACGCUCUCAUCUUGUGAUCAAGGAGCUGAGCUGUCACUUCCGCCAGGAGGGAAAAGGCCCACGCUGCCCAUCGCAGAUCUGUGCAUGGUCGCUAUACAGGAUACAGCACAGCCCAGAACUUUCAGAAACCCGGGUCACGGCGCCACCCUAGCACAGUCCCGUUACAGCACGCUUUGAGCGUUCUUGCUUCCACGCUCAGAGGUUCUGCAGCCAAUAUGUGUGGAGGGCGUCCCCAGACACCGGCGGUUCUCAGACACAGUUGGGUCAGCUCAAGCCAGUCCUGACUCCAUCUCCCUGGACGCAGCGAGACUUCGCCCCCAAGAGACUCCCACUUCAGACACCAGCUGGCGGUCCUCAGUGGAGCCCUGUUCUGCCACUGUCUCCCUCAGGUUAAGGGUGUGGUCCUGAGAGGCUCUCCCCGCCCCCAGCCUCAGGUGGGCAUGUGUGGUCCUGACCCACCAGCUGCAGAGCAGAGCGACUCCCGCCACCCUCGCCGACCACCCCGCCACAACCCUCUCUGCAGGUCCAGUUACUUUGCCAGAGGAGCUCACAGAAUUCAGGAACACUUUACUUGCUAGAUCGGAGGUUUUUUCCUUAUAUUAAUAAAAGGGUGUGACUCAGGAACAUGCAGGUGGAAGAGACACAGUGGCAGGUGGGAGGAUCCCAAGCUCCCACACCUUCCCCAGGCCCCCCUUCUCUCGCAGUCUCCCCCCUGCAGGUGGGAGGAUCCCAAGCUCCCACACCUUCCCCAGGCCCCCCCUUCUCUCGCAGUCUCCCCCCUACGGAGGCUCUCUGGGCCCCUCCUUUGGGGCUUCCCUGGAGGAUUCCUUCCCCAGCAUAACUGACUUGCCUCUGGCGACUGAUCACACCUCCAGCCCCUCCCCUCCCCGAAGGCCAGGGGCUGGGACCCUCGUUCUGAGCUCUGGUCACAUGGUGGCUCCCCUGGCGGCCGGUGGCCCCUCCUCUUGGGUAAGAUUUCCCGGAGUCACCUCAUCUGCAGGACAAAAAACACCUUCAUCCCGCUCACCAAAGGGAAUUCCAAGGGUUUAAGGAGCUCUUUGCUGGGAACCGCAGAUGAAAAUCAAGUGUGUAUCUUACAAAUAAAUCACACUGUCACAGAUGCUGACACUGACAAUGUAUGACAAGCCCACUUGGCAUUCAUCUUUUUAACACC
Bos taurus (domestic cattle) is the source of this 2285-nucleotide long non-coding RNA. The record is from Ensembl. Lineage: Eukaryota; Metazoa; Chordata; Mammalia; Artiodactyla; Bovidae.